This 403-nucleotide ribosomal RNA is filed under the name uncultured bacterium. Its description in RNAcentral is "partial 16S ribosomal RNA". It matches the Rfam family "Bacterial small subunit ribosomal RNA", at positions 30 to 526 of the family's 1533-position model. The record is from RNAcentral.
AUUGAACGCUGGCGGCAGGCCUAACACAUGCAAGUCGAGCGAGCGGCGGACGGGUGAGUAAUGUAUGGGGACUGCCCGAUAGAGGGGGAUAACUACUGGAAACGGUGGCUAAUACCGCAUACUAUCGGAUAACCCAUAUGGGAUUAGCUAGUAGGUGGGGUAAAGGUUCACCUAGGCGACGACCACUAGCUGGUCUGAGAGGAUGAUCCGCCACACUGGGACUGAGACACGGCCCAGACUCCUACGGAGGCAGCAGUGGGGAAUAUUGCGCAAUGGGCGCAAGCCUGAUGCAGCAAUGCCGCGUGAAUGAUGAAGGCCUUAGGAUUGUAAAGUACUGUCAGCGGGGAGGCGUUACCUGCAGAAGAAGCACCGGCUAACUCCGUGCCAGCAGCCGCGGUAAUAC